AUUGAACGCUGGCGGCAGGCCUAACACAUGCAAGUCGAACGGCAACAGGAAGCAGCUUGCUGCUUCGCUGACGAGUGGCGGACGGGUGAGUAAUGUCUGGGAAGCUGCCUGAUGGAGGGGGAUAACUACUGGAAACGGUAGCUAAUACCGCAUAAUGUCGCAAGACCAAAGAGGGGGACCUUCGGGCCUCUUGCCAUCGGAUGUGCCCAGAUGGGAUUAGCUUGUUGGUGGGGUAACGGCUCACCAAGGCGACGAUCCCUAGCUGGUCUGAGAGGAUGACCAGCCACACUGGAACUGAGACACGGUCCAGACUCCUACGGGAGGCAGCAGUGGGGAAUAUUGCACAAUGGGCGCAAGCCUGAUGCAGCCAUGCCGCGUGUAUGAAGAAGGCCUUCGGGUUGUAAAGUACUUUCAGCGGGGAGGAAGGGAGUAAAGUUAAUACCUUUGCUCAUUGACGUUACCCGCAGAAGAAGCACCGGCUAACUCCGUG
RNAcentral lists this ribosomal RNA (490 nucleotides) under uncultured bacterium. RNAcentral describes it as "partial 16S ribosomal RNA". It matches the Rfam family "Bacterial small subunit ribosomal RNA", at positions 30 to 507 of the family's 1533-position model. The record is from RNAcentral.